RNAcentral lists this ribosomal RNA (497 nucleotides) under uncultured bacterium. Its description in RNAcentral is "partial 16S ribosomal RNA". It matches the Rfam family "Bacterial small subunit ribosomal RNA", at positions 28 to 507 of the family's 1533-position model. The record is from RNAcentral.
GACGAACGCUGGCGGCGUGCCUAAUACAUGCAAGUUGAGCGCUGAAGGUUGGUACUUGUACCAACUGGAUGAGCAGCGAACGGGUGAGUAACGCGUGGGGAAUCUGCCUUUGAGCGGGGGACAACAUUUGGAAACGAAUGCUAAUACCGCAUAAAAACUUUAAACACAAGUUUUAAGUUUGAAAGAUGCCAUUGCAUCACUCAAAGAUGAUCCCGCGUUGUAUUAGCUAGUUGGUGAGGUAAAGGCUCACCAAGGCGAUGAUACAUAGCCGACCUGAGAGGGUGGUCGGCCACAUUGGGACUGAGACACGGCCCAAACUCCUACGGGAGGCAGCAGUAGGGAAUCGUCGGCAAUGGACGAAAGUCUGGCCGAGCAACGCCGCGUGAGGGAAGAAGGUUUUCGGAUCGUAAAACUCUGUUGGUAGAGAAGAACGUGGGUGAGAGUGGAAAGCUCAUCAAGUGACGGUAACUACCCAGAAAGGGACGGCUAACUACGUG